CUUGGGUCGUACAAAGGGGAAUAACUCUUAUUGCAACGUUGUGCUUUGGAAGUGAGCUGACGAGAGGUGUCGCUUUACAUCCGGUGGAAACGAAUGUAAUAUAUCGUAAGGUCAUGGAAAUACAGAAAAAAGACUGCUACCUGUUCUAGGCAAGGGUGGAAUCGUUACAAGAAAGGCCUUUGAUUAUAUGAUGUGUUGCAUUUCUGAUGUCAGUUUUUUUUGUGUAAUAAAUAAAAAUCUUUUAUAUAUCUGC
This is a long non-coding RNA of Mizuhopecten yessoensis (Yesso scallop), 253 nucleotides long. RefSeq lists it as uncharacterized. The record is from RefSeq and is a predicted model, not a curated record. NCBI's taxonomy places the organism in Eukaryota, Metazoa, Mollusca, Bivalvia, Pectinida, Pectinidae. The transcript has 2 exons.